UACGUAGGGGGCAAGCGUUGUCCGGAAUCAUUGGGCGUAAAGCGCGUGUAGGCGGUUCGGUAAGUCCGCUGUGAAAGUCGGGGGCUCAACCCUCGAAUGCCGGUGGAUACUGUCGGACUAGAGUCCGGAAGAGGCGAGUGGAAUUCCUGGUGUAGCGGUGAAAUGCGCAGAUAUCAGGAGGAACACCGAUUGCGAAGGCAGCUCGCUGGGACGUGACUGACGCUGAGACGCGAAAGCGUGGGGAGCAAACAGG
RNAcentral lists this ribosomal RNA (253 nucleotides) under uncultured bacterium. RNAcentral's name for it is "partial 16S ribosomal RNA". It matches the Rfam family "Bacterial small subunit ribosomal RNA", at positions 524 to 776 of the family's 1533-position model. The record is from RNAcentral.